GAUGAACGCUGGCGACGUGGAUAAGGCAUGCAAGUCGAACGGAUACUAUAGCAAUAUAGUAUUAGUGGCGAACGAGGUAGUAAUAGGUAGGUACGCACCCUCUAGUCAAGAAUAACUGAUCGAAAGAUCAGCUAAUACUUGAUAGUCCCUUCGGGGUAAAGUUUUAACGCUAGAGGAGCGGCCUGCUCGGUAUCAGCUAGUUGGUAGUGUAAAAGACUACCAAGGCUAUGACACCUAGGGGAGCUGAGAGGCUGACCCCCACCGAUGGAACUGAGACACGGUCCAUACACCUACGGGUGGCUGCAGUCGAGAAUCUUCCACAAUGGGCGAAAGCCUGAUGGAGCGACGUCGCGUGAUUGAUGAAGUCUUUCGGGAUGUAAAAAUCUUUUAUGAGGGAGAAAGUUAUUGAUAGUACCUCAUGAAUAAGGGGUUGCUAAACUCGUG
RNAcentral lists this ribosomal RNA (444 nucleotides) under uncultured bacterium. RNAcentral describes it as "bacterial SSU rRNA". It matches the Rfam family "Bacterial small subunit ribosomal RNA", at positions 28 to 507 of the family's 1533-position model. The record is from RNAcentral.